This is a long non-coding RNA of Capsicum annuum, 2782 nucleotides long. RefSeq lists it as uncharacterized. The record is from RefSeq and is a predicted model, not a curated record. NCBI's taxonomy places the organism in Eukaryota, Viridiplantae, Streptophyta, Magnoliopsida, Solanales, Solanaceae. The transcript has 7 exons.
AAAGCCUCUUCUACCCAUUCUCGCAAUGCUAUCUUCGUGGUUUCAUUUUUCUCAUUCUAGAAUUAUAUAUCUUCGAUCCAUUUUUAUUUUGUUGAUAAGCUUUUAUUCAAAUUUUUACCCUAAUUUUCUUCAUUCUGCAGCAUUUAAGUUUUUCUUUUUGAUUAUUUUUCAGCUUUAAUCGGGUCUCUUGUGGAUGAUUUUUGUUCUUAUCUUAGCUAUUUAUGAAAUUAUGUGUACGCCUAUUUACUAUUAGAAGGGGAUUUUUUUUGGCUGAAGGAAUAACCAUGGAGCUAAAAUGCGCAAUACUAUCGAUCAGACGAAGACAUCGAUGGCUGGAUGAUUUUCAGCACAGUAUUGACGUUUAAGAGGUUCUUUGUGUUUUACUCCUUCAAAAUGCUGGGUUGCAAUCUAAAGAUAUUUCUGUUCGUUCAAUGGCCAUUGACCUUCUUGGCACAAUUGAUGCAAGGCUGAAACAAGAUGCAGUCCGCUGUAGGGAGGAGAAAUUCUGGAUAGUAAAGGAGUCGAGAAGCGAGGACAUGAUUGACCAGAAUCUUCCCAACGAUGCAUGUUCUGUUUGUUUGGAUUCCAGGAUUGACAAAUCACUUGAUCGAUGCCAUGAUUGUCAGAGAAUGUUUCACGUUAACUGUACUGGAAUCAGGGGUCAUGAUAUGUCUAAUCGUGUCUUUCAAUGUCAGAUGUGUUUCUCCAAGAAGCUGGGAAAAUAACUGUACUAAGUCAGGAAAGACGUCACAAGUUACUGAGGCAAUCACAAAUUUGGAGAUUGUUCAGCAGCCACUACUGAAUUAUCUCCAUGAUGUUGCAACUGUUGACGAUUUACAUUUAUUUACUCACUGGUUCUAUCUAUGUCUUUGGUAUAAAGAUGACCCUAAUUUAGCGUAGAAGUUCAUGUAUUAUGUUGCACGAUUAAAGUCACAAGCAAUUGUGUGCGACUCUAGUUCACUUUCUUCACUAAUGACAAGAGAGUCGGCAAAAAAGAUAACUCUAGCGUUGGGACAGAAUAGUUCUUUCUCUAGAGGAUUUGACAAGAUUCUGCAAGUCCUUCUGGCAAGUUUGAGGGAGAACUCUCCAAUCAUUCGUGCAAAGGCGUUGCGAGCAGUUAGUAUCAUUGUUAAGGCUGAUCCAGAGGUUUAAGCUUGUCCAAACAGCAGUGGAAUGGAGGUUUUGUUACUCUGCUAUAUCUGCCCGAGAAACUGCGUUGGAACUUGUAGGCAGGCAUAUUGUUUCAUAUCCUGAUGUUGGUUUAAAGGUAUUGAAUUUAGAUCUAUAUGAUCCCACAUGCUUUUUUGACAUCUUGUUCAGGAUGGCUAUGGUUUUCCCUUUAACGCUGCUUUUGGUUGCACAUAACUUUGAGAAGUUGGUAGAAAGCAUAAAGGAUGCUAGAGUAAGCAUGCGAAAGCGUGCUAUCAAAAUCAUACGGGACAUGUCCACUUCAAAUGCUAACUUCUCAGAGUUUACUACUGUUUGCGUUGAAAUUAUUUCCCGAGUAAAUGGUGAGGAAUCCAGUGUACAGGUAGUAGUCAAAUCAAUUUCCUUACAGUUUUAACAUUCUAGCCGAUUCUUAUUUUGUCUUCUCCUUGAUUAAAUAGUGAUACAAGCAGCAUGACCAUACCAAUAUCUACCCCAGAUGAAUGUAGAACUUGUAAGGUUCAUGUGAUGAUCGACCAUAAUCAUCGUUACACUUUAGACUUGACAAGUGGCUGCAUUGGCCCAUAAAUGGUCGACUUAGAACAAGGCACACGGUUCUUGGUGCAAUUCAUAGGCCAGUCCCAAGUUAGUCAUUCUGCAUGGGAAAGGGGCCCUGUCCUGCCUACAAAGCCUCCACUUGGGUGGACUGGGUAGCAGCCAGGGAUUUUAAAAAUAAUUUUGAACUUUGUAUUUAUUUAACAAGAUUUAAGUAUUUAAAUUAUUUUUGAGUGAAAAUUGAAGAAAUGUAAAAUUGAAGAUUUACUUUGGAAAAAUAUAGUUGAAAUAUUAAAAAAUCUUUAAUAUAAAAACAGAUGAAGGUUAAGUAUAAGCUUGGGAUACAUUAGUGUGAAAUUAGAGCCUCAAAGAUUAGUACUACCUGUUCCAUUUUAUAUGACAACCUUUUGUUUAUAGUUUGAUGAAUCUUAUAAACAAAAUUAACAGAUAUCCUGAUGAAGAAGCUGGUCAAUUGUCCAUGGCAUUUGUUGUGAGACGUCCCCAAAGCACUGUUGACAAAGAACAAGUGAUUGACUUUAUUUCAAAACAGGCUGCAAUAACUAAGCACAACCAAGCUGUAAACACGUAGUAGUAAAAGAGGAAAGGAAACCUCCGUCUACCAUUUGAAGAACGUAUAUUUCUGCCUCUUUAGCGUUACUUAGUUGGACAGUGGUAGCAAUAUCUUAAAGGAAGAGAGUAAGAAUUUCCAUCUGUUAUUAUUUUAUCAAGGAAGAUAAUGUUUUUCCUUUCCGAAGGUAAAUAUAGCUAAAGCAUGAUGGUGCUUCAUGUUGUAGUGAUGAAAACAAACAAGGUAGCUUGAUCUAUGGAAUUAAACAGCAACUGCAAUAUAUGGAAUCAAACAUGGACCCUUUUUGGUUUAGAAGGAUGACAUUUCAUUUAGCACAUUCAAGGAGUAAAUAUACAUUUCAUCUAAAUUGUUGUCGUGUCCAGUAUAACUAAUCUAUCAAAUUGUGAAUUUUUGUUAUUUCUAUUCAUCGUUUGAGGCAACGUAUGAAGAAUAGAAUACAUAGACUUUCAUCGUUGGGCCCGAUUCAUAUCUAGUAUUCUCAAUAUUUUACCU